GAUGAACGCUAGCUACAGGCUUAACACAUGCAAGUCGAGGGGCAGCAUGGUCUUAGCUUGCUAAGGCUGAUGGCGACCGGCGCACGGGUGAGUAACACGUAUCCAACCUGCCGUCUACUCUUGGCCAGCCUUCUGAAAGGAAGAUUAAUCCAGGAUGGCAUCAUGAGUUCACAUGUCCGCAUGAUUAAAGGUAUUUUCCGGUAGACGAUGGGGAUGCGUUCCAUUAGAUAGUAGGCGGGGUAACGGCCCACCUAGUCAACGAUGGAUAGGGGUUCUGAGAGGAAGGUCCCCCACAUUGGAACUGAGACACGGUCCAAACUCCUACGGGAGGCAGCAGUGAGGAAUAUUGGUCAAUGGGCGAUGGCCUGAACCAGCCAAGUAGCGUGAAGGAUGACUGCCCUAUGGGUUGUAAACUUCUUUUAUAAAGGAAUAAAGUCGGGUAUGCAUACCCGUUUGCAUGUACUUUAUGAAUAAGGAUCGGCUAACUCCGUGCCAGCAGCCGCGGUAAUACGGAGGAUCCGAGCGUUAUCCGGAUUUAUUGGGUUUAAAGGGAGCGUAGAUGGAUGUUUAAGUCAGUUGUGAAAGUUUGCGGCUCAACCGUAAAAUUGCAGUUGAUACUGGAUGUCUUGAGUGCAGUUGAGGCAGGCGGAAUUCGUGGUGUAGCGGUGAAAUGCUUAGAUAUCACGAAGAACUCCGAUUGCGAAGGCAGCCUGCUAAGCUGCAACUGACAUUGAGGCUCGAAAGUGUGGGUAUCAAACAGG
RNAcentral lists this ribosomal RNA (761 nucleotides) under uncultured Bacteroidales bacterium. RNAcentral describes it as "bacterial SSU rRNA". It matches the Rfam family "Bacterial small subunit ribosomal RNA", at positions 28 to 776 of the family's 1533-position model. Lineage: Bacteria; Pseudomonadati; Bacteroidota; Bacteroidia; Bacteroidales. The record is from RNAcentral.